RNAcentral lists this ribosomal RNA (492 nucleotides) under uncultured bacterium. RNAcentral describes it as "partial 16S ribosomal RNA". It matches the Rfam family "Bacterial small subunit ribosomal RNA", at positions 29 to 507 of the family's 1533-position model. The record is from RNAcentral.
AGUGAACGCUGGCGGUAGACCUAACACAUGCAAGUCGAGCGGCAGCACAGUAAGAGCUUGCUCUUACGGGUGGCGAGUGGCGGACGGGUGAGGAAUACAUCGGAAUCUACUUUUUCGUGGGGGAUAACGUAGGGAAACUUACGCUAAUACCGCAUACGACCUACGGGUGAAAGCAGGGGAUCUUCGGACCUUGCGCGAUUGAAUGAGCCGAUGUCGGAUUAGCUAGUUGGCGGGGUAAAGGCCCACCAAGGCGACGAUCCGUAGCUGGUCUGAGAGGAUGAUCAGCCACACUGGAACUGAGACACGGUCCAGACUCCUACGGGAGGCAGCAGUGGGGAAUAUUGGACAAAGGGCGCAAGCCUGAUCCAGCCAUACCGCGUGGGUGAAGAAGGCCUUCGGGUUGUAAAGCCCUUUUGUUGGGAAAGAAAAGCAGCAGGUUAAUACCCCGCUGUUCUGACGGUACCCAAAGAAUAAGCACCGGCUAACUUCGUG